This 372-nucleotide ribosomal RNA is filed under the name uncultured bacterium. Its description in RNAcentral is "bacterial SSU rRNA". It matches the Rfam family "Bacterial small subunit ribosomal RNA", at positions 525 to 896 of the family's 1533-position model. The record is from RNAcentral.
ACAGAGGGUGCAAGCGUUAAUCGGAAUUACUGGGCGUAAAGCGCGCGUAGGCCGUCGAGUAAGUCGGAUGUGAAAUCCCCGGGCUUAACCUGGGAAUUGCAUUCGAUACUGCUUGGCUAGAGUGUGGAAGAGGGAAGCGGAAUUUCCGGUGUAGCGGUGAAAUGCGUAGAUAUCGGAAGGAACACCAGUGGCGAAGGCGGCUUCCUGGUCCAACACUGACGCUGAGGCGCGAAAGCGUGGGGAGCGAACAGGAUUAGAUACCCUGGUAGUCCACGCUGUAAACGAUGAGAACUAGAUGUUGGGGGGUAUAACCCCUCAGUGUCGCAGCUAACGCGUUAAGUUCUCCGCCUGGGGAGUACGGCCGCAAGGUUG